AGAAAUCAACCCGCAGUCCUUUCUUCUAUCUUAUCCAUACGUUCCUUUCCAGCGCGGCGGGCGGCGCCCUUCACGGCGGCGACAACUCCGAGUGGGCUCGCGGGAGACGGCGCUGGGCUUGGGAGAUGCGGCCGCGAGGGCGCCGCAUCAGUUCGCGGCAGCGAGGCGGGGAUGCGGCGCUGCGCUCCCGGGAUGCAGCAGCGAGGCGUCGAGGCAGCGCUGCGCUCGGGCGCGGCAUCAAGCGGCAGCAGCGAGGCGGGAGGCGCACAUGGAGAUGAAGGAGGAGAAAAUGGAGAGUCGGCCGGGGCGAGGAGUUCGCCGGCGUCGAAGCCACGGACCACGGCGCUGCAAGCUUGCAGGGGGCGGUGGCCAUGGCGGGGAGGCGGCGCUGAGCUCGGGAGCCGCAUGCCUCCUCUGCCGCUCCUUCUUUCUUUCUUCCCCAACUCCUCUCUUGCACGUCGUCGUCUUGCCGCCCACGCAGCAAAGAGGUCGAGGAAGAGGCGGGAGUCGGGUCAAUCGAUCUGUCGCACGAGGAUGCGGCACUCCCUGUUCCAUCUAGAUCAACGGGCGCAGAGGGAGGUGGAAGAAGAGCCACGACCUCUGAGCAGGAGGCUGUCGCCUAGCACGCAUCUGACUGCGGCUAUUUUAUCCAUGAGCUGGAGGAUAAGAGAAGUGCAUCUCUAAAAUUCAGAGUUUUGAACCUAAAGAGACGCAUCUAGACAAUGGUUGCAUGAGUGGUUCCAGUGUCAUAUACGCCAACAUGGUUGGAGAUUUGGGAUCGGAUGCUGCGCCAAGAAUGAGGGACCAAGGUACUGAACUAACAGCAGGGGCAGAAUGAUUCUUCAGGAUGAAUCAGAAACUGAAGAUGAUGAUCCCAUGGACACAGAAGAAGCUUCCUCUGUCCUCAUCGCUGCACUGCAGUCUUUCAGCCAAGCUCUGGUGUAUGACGACGAAGAAAAAGAUACCGUGAGUCCGUGACAGAGGUAGAUGUCUUCUUGCGUCCUACCCUAGAUGACGGGGGCUCUCUCAUCAGCAAAAUAGCUACUCUGGAUACGCAUAUGAUGAUCGCAAGAGACUGUACCUUAUGGAUAAGUAAAUGACUCUGAGGUCUACAUGUUAAGUAUAGAAAGAAAAGCCUGACGACGACAAGUGUACUGUCGGGAGCUUUGCUGCCACUUCUUUGCCAGCCGGAGUGGCCUGUUUUUAGUGAUGAUCAUGGUCUACAUGCGUGUAUAUGUUGUGUUCUGAUAGACUGUACUACAAGAUUUUCUUGGAAUUGGUACUUCUGUUUUUGUAUGCUAUGAAGAGCGUAUGUGUAUGCUGGUUCCGUGUA
This is a long non-coding RNA of Triticum urartu, 1333 nucleotides long. RefSeq lists it as uncharacterized. NCBI's taxonomy places the organism in Eukaryota, Viridiplantae, Streptophyta, Magnoliopsida, Poales, Poaceae. The record is from RefSeq and is a predicted model, not a curated record.